This 686-nucleotide long non-coding RNA is filed under the name Heterocephalus glaber (naked mole-rat). RNAcentral describes it as "lncRNA (ENSHGLG00100033062.1)". The record is from RNAcentral. Lineage: Eukaryota; Metazoa; Chordata; Mammalia; Rodentia; Bathyergidae.
GAACAAUGCUACAGGGGUGAAUGGAAGGGAGCUCAGAACACCUAUGCAAGUUUCUGUAUGUGCAGAGCAAAUCUCAGUGAGAACUGAUGGUGAGCUUUUGUCAGUACUCCUCCAGUUUGAAGAAAUACAGGCCCAUAAAUACUGGACUGUAAUUAUUGAAGAUCUAAAUAUCUUAUGGAACACAUCACAGAAGUAUACUAUGAUUUAACUGCCCAUAGGACAAGUGGAACAUGCAGCAACUGACUCAGAUACACAACUUUACAAGGCUACCUUUUAGAAUAAGACGACCCUCUCCUGCUAGAGAUCCUCCUGAUCCCAAGGACCUGCUUCAUGUCUCCCAUCUAAAUCCAAGAUUUGCUCCAUUCAAGAUGAAGACAGAAGAUUCAUUUCUAGAUGAAGAGGAUGUUAAACUUAUAUUUGAACUGGAGUGAUGCAAAGAUGAAUCAUCUUACAAUUCCUGCUCUGAAGGAGCCCGUAAUUAUGGAGGUGAAACUGCUACCCACCUACACAGUUACACUAUAAAGCAAUCAGGGAUAAUUGAUGUAAUAAAUCUGAAAGCAAAAUACAAAGGAGUGGGCAGCAGAUUCUGACGGAAGUGGUUAAAGAAGGCUUGCUGGAAAACUUUCCAUCUCCUUCUCCAUCUGUUAAAAUGCACUUUGUGUUUCCAGAUCUGUAUUAAAUAUAAC